UGCGUAGGUGGCACGAUAUGUCGGAUGUGAAAGCCCACGGCUCAACCGUGGAACUGCAUACGAAACUGUCGAGCUAGAGUACAGGAGGGGAGAGUGGAAUUCUUGGUGUAGCGGUGAAAUGCGUUGAUAUCAAGAAGAACACCGGUGGCGAAGGCGGCUCUCUAGAAUGUUACUGACACUGAGGCACGAAAGCUGGGGGAGCAAACAGGAUUAGAUACCCUGGUAGUCC
Molecule: ribosomal RNA, 229 nt
Filed under: uncultured bacterium
Lineage: Bacteria
Description: partial 16S ribosomal RNA
Rfam family: Bacterial small subunit ribosomal RNA
Source: RNAcentral